UGGGGAAUUUUCGGCAAUGGGGGAAACCCUGACCGAGCCAUGCCGCGUGCAGGAUGAAGGCCUUAGGGUUGUAAACUGCUGUGGAGAAUUACUAAAUUUUGAAGAGUUUUCUAGAAAGGGGUUGCUAACUCUGUGCCAGCAGCAGCGGUAAUACAGAGACCCCAAGCGUUAUCCGGUUUCAUUGGGCGUAAAGCGUUCCGAUCGGUUGUUUCGUGUGUCUAUAGUUAAAGACCGCAGCUUAACUGCGUGUAUGCUAUGGAAACUGCGUUACUAGAGUAGUGAAGAGGUAGCUGGAACUCUACAAGUAGGGGUGAAAUCCGUUGAUAUGUAGGGGAACACCAAAUGCGAAGGCAGGCUACUGGGCACUAACUGACACUGCUAGGACGAAAGCGUGGGGAGC
This 400-nucleotide ribosomal RNA is filed under the name uncultured bacterium. RNAcentral describes it as "bacterial SSU rRNA". It matches the Rfam family "Bacterial small subunit ribosomal RNA", at positions 355 to 769 of the family's 1533-position model. The record is from RNAcentral.